AGCCUGAACGCUGGCGGCGUGGCUAAGACAUGCAAGUCGAACGGGUGUAGCAAUACACCAGUGGCGCACGGGUGAGUAAUGUAUCGCUAACGUGCCCUGGAGCCUGGGAUAGCUGUCCGAAAGGGCAGGUAAUACCGGAUGAGACCACGGAGAGGCAUCUCUCAGUGCUCAAAAGCCGCAAGGCAC
RNAcentral lists this ribosomal RNA (186 nucleotides) under uncultured soil bacterium. RNAcentral's name for it is "partial 16S ribosomal RNA". It matches the Rfam family "Bacterial small subunit ribosomal RNA", at positions 26 to 218 of the family's 1533-position model. The record is from RNAcentral.